This 831-nucleotide ribosomal RNA is filed under the name Triticum aestivum (bread wheat). Its description in RNAcentral is "partial small subunit ribosomal RNA". The record is from RNAcentral. Lineage: Eukaryota; Viridiplantae; Streptophyta; Magnoliopsida; Poales; Poaceae.
AUGGCGGCGCCGCUCAAGAUCUCCCGCUCGGCGCUCCAGGCGGCGGCCAAGGCCGCGGGGUCCCAAGACCUCCGCAAGGUCUCCCUUUCGCAGUUCCGCGCCCUGUGCGCCGCAGCCGGCGCCAACGGCGAGGUCAUCCCGGCCGGCACCGGCUCCUCCGUCGGCGCGCCUGGCGCCGCGGUGGGCGCAGCCGGUCACGGAACCAAGGGCACCGGAGCUGGGCUCGCCACGGCUGACCGCGGGGCCAACGGCGGCCACCGGAUCGGCGCGCCGGCCGUGUCUCUGUACGGCGCGAAGCUUAAGGGCGCCCAGGGCGCGGCUGCCGCGGGGCUCGGCAUCGGCGCUCCCGGCGCGGCUGGCCUCACCGGCGGCAUGAGCGUCGGAGCUCCGGCCGCCGGCGGGCAUGGACGCGGCGGCGCCGCAAGUGCCACGUUCGGCAUCAGGGCCGGCCUCUCCACCUCCACCAAGGCCGCUGCCCCCGGCUGCGUCGAGUGCGCCGCUGAGUGCGCCAAGAUCAAGGCCAUUUGCAUCGAAAUGGAGGAGUCGUUCCACAGGCGAACGGCACACGUUACCCAAAUGCACUACAGGCUCUCCAACGAGGUGGCGACGAUGAAGAGGGAAGCGGCGGAUUACAGGAUCUGGUUAGUGAGAACGCUCAUCGGGGUCAUGGUGACGGGAACUGGAGCCCUGCUGUUGUUGGCCCUUUUCUUCUCGCCCUACGUGCAACAUGCUUGGCAGUCGGAGACCAUCGCCGAGGUGGAUCGCCGAGCUGCAGCGCGCAGACUUGAGGCGGAGCAAAGUGCCGCCAACCAGGGCGAGAAGAAGGCCUAG